GACGUAGGGCGCGAGCGUUGUCCGGAUUUAUUGGGCGUAAAGAGCUCGUAGGCGGCUUGUCGCGUCGACUGUGAAAACCCGAGGCUCAACUUCGGGCUUGCAGUCGAUACGGGCAGGCUAGAGUUCGGUAGGGGGAGACUGGAAUUCCUGGUGUAGCGGUGAAAUGCGCAGAUAUCAGGAGGAACACCGAUGGCGAAGGCAGGUCUCUGGGCCGCAACUGACGCUGAGGAGCGAAAGCAUGGGGAGCGAACAGG
This 254-nucleotide ribosomal RNA is filed under the name uncultured bacterium. RNAcentral describes it as "partial 16S ribosomal RNA". It matches the Rfam family "Bacterial small subunit ribosomal RNA", at positions 524 to 776 of the family's 1533-position model. The record is from RNAcentral.